UAUGCCUGCAGGCCAGAAGAGGGCACCAGACCCUGUUACAGAUGGCUGUGAGCCACCAUGUGGUUGCUGAGAAUUGAACUCAGGACCUUUGGAAGAGCAGGCAAUGCUCUUAACCUCUGAGCCAUCUCUCCAGCCCUUAUCUCCAUUUUUAAAAUUCCAGUUUUGCUUAUUGAGAUCUCAAUAUUUAAAUCUAACUGGAUAAUGUAUGAAAAGCAAGGUACAUGGUUGGCAAUGAGAACCGCAAAACCAGCAGCCUUAAUUCCUGAAUGGUCACACAGCAGACAUUUCCCUAGGGUUGCUAAGAAGUAAAUCAAGCAAGAAAAGACGCGAGGUAUGGCGGCACAUGCUUUGUAAUCCCAGUUCCUCGGAGGCGUUGGAUUGCAGUUCGUUUGACAAGCUGCAAGCGUGGUCCCAAGAGAGGUGUCAUCGCUGGCUUGGUAAAGUCUGUGUUAACAAUGGCCCUGCAGGGCAGAGCUCAAAAGGAAUUGACCGGGAAGGUUUCCGUUUAAAAUCUGUGCUGAUAAUGAUUGAUGGGAAAGGAUUUCUACACAUUACAUUUAGUUUGAGGAUUUCUUCAUGUUUAGGUCUUCUCUGUACCUUAAAGUCAGAACUCUGUCCACUCGUGGCUCCUCCAACCUAACUGACGCUGUUGCAUGAAGAAUCAGACAAACAAAGCAAAGGUUGUUUGCUUCUGGACUCCGGAUGUAGGGGUAAAAUGGAACCAGCUCAAAAUUGGUGGAGAAAUUGUCACAAGAACAAGACAAGAUUUGACAAGGUCAAAGCAGGGUCAUUUGCCAAAAUAAAUAAGUAAUGGAAGGAAAAGUUUGAGUGAGCAGAAACCAGAGUCGGGGCAAAUCUCUGAUCAUAGAAUAGCAAGCCAGAAAUAUGAAUGAGGACGGUGGUGCAGGCCUGUAACCCAAGUGAUGUUGACACAAGAAGCUGAGGCGGAGGAUCACUAGUUCAAGGGCUGCCUGUGCUACAGAGUGAGUUCAAGACCAGCCUGAGCAACUUUACUCUCUGUCUCCAAAUAAAACACAGGCCAGGACAGUAGCACAGUAGGGCUCUGGGUUCAAUAUUCAGAACCACAAAAAAGAAAAAAACUAAACUCACGUUGGAUGGUUAAUCUUCGUGUCACUUGCCUGGAUUUAUAAUCAUCUUGUAAUUUCUGGGUAAGUUGAACUAAGGAGAGAAGACCCUUCUUGAACGUGUGUGUGCAGGUCCUGAAUGUGCAUGUGCAUAUGUGUACACUUGCAUGGUUGAGGUGUGUGUGUACGCACGUGCACACAUGCCAUACCCUGGGCUGGGGUCCAGGACCACAGGAAGGAGAAAGCAAGCCAAGCGCCACACACACCAUCUUUUCCUAAUUGCAGGUGCAUAGACUGGCUCCGGCUGCCGUGCCUUCUUCACCUUUUUUACUAAGUUGCUUUGGUUGGGUAUUCUCACAGCAAAAAAUGAAAGCAGCUAAUACACUCCCAAACCCAGAAAUAUGGCAACAUAACCAUAAUUAGACAAAUUUCUAAGAAAGCUACUAUUACUCGAGUCAGACGGACGACUCAGUGAAUAAGAGCCUGGCCCUGGCAGGUCCUUUGGAGGACCUGGGUCUGAGUCUAGCUCAUACUGUUAACGCCAAUCUCAGGGGAUGUGGUGCUCUCUUCUGUACUCCAAAGGCAUCAAGAACGCACAAAUACACAUGCAGGCAAAAUACCCAAACACAUGAAAUAUUAUUAAAAUAAUUAUUAUAAAAGAAAAAAGUUUUAUUAUCAGGUAAAGAUAUACUUUUAGGGUUUUAGCAAGCUUUUUUUCUAGCUUAUCAUACUUAAAAAUGAAUUUUAUGGAAAAACCAGAGAAAUAUCAGUGACAAACAGAUGCAGUGACAAAAGCUAAAACUGACAACUGGCUAGGGCAGGGUAAUGUGAGCAACAGAAUCACUCGGCAGUUAUUUCACAGACUUUCAGGGAUGCUCCUUCAUCAUCCUAUCUGAGGUGAUGCUCUCUCUUGCUCACCUUUCCUUAGGUCCAAGGAUCUACUUUGCUUUCAAAGAUGAAAUACUGCAGAUCCUGGAACCCUGGCCCCCCUUCAGGGAUAGGCACACAGGCCAAGCGAAUUUAUCAAAUUCUUGUUUCUAGGAACAAAAAUAAAACUCUGCUAUCGUUCAUUGACCCGAAUGCUGCAUAAGCUCCUGUCACAAGGCCCCUUGGCUGCACGGAGUCUUUCCUUCCUGGGGUCUGUUGUUAGAACCCCAAUGUCACCUUCCAGGGAAUUCGCUUAAACGAGCCGAGGCUGGCGCUCAGUUGCUCAUAAUCUACUAGCAUCAUUUACCAACUCAUUAAAACCAGGUGACUGGGCCGGGUUGGUGGUGGCUCACGCCUUUAAUCCCAGCAGUCGGGAGGCAGAGAGGCAGGUGGGUCUCUGUGAAUCUGAGGUCAGCCUGGUCUACAAAGCAAGUUCCAUGACAGGCUGGAACUCAGAGUUAUAUACAGAGAAACCCUGUCUCGAACCCCCCCCCCCAAAAAAAAAACCAAACCAAACCAAACCAAACAAACAAACAAAUCAGAUGACGGGGCAUUUGUUGUCUCCUCCAUCGCUGGCACUUGCUGGAGCGGCACCAGGAGCUCUCUCCACUAUCAGCCACUCACGCACACAAAAAAGCCUGGAACUCUGGGAGGGCGCUACCAGGCUUUCACCUUUGCCUGCUCUCCAACAGAGAGAGCCACGAAAAUGGCGGGAAGCUUCGCAAGCAGUGCUGGUUCAUUCUUUCAGGUUUAGGAGAGAGUCUGUGCCCUGCUCACAAGCACGAGUGGAGAAACGUCUUGGGCAGGCUUUGGGGUUCCGUUUACCGAGGAUCACUAUUCACAGUGAUCAAGGUAGAACCGGUAAUGAGCAAGACAACGACCUGAAGAGGAAGCAACAAAUGACUCCAUUCCCUUCUAUACGGAUGGCUAGAAUUCAAAAUACAAAGAAAGGUGAGUAGGGACCCUCACAAGAGAGUGUGAAUUGCUGCAACCACUGUGGAGAAGAGUUUGAGUCUCUCUAAAGGUUAAAUAUUGAACUACAGUGUGACCCAGCAAGUAAAUCUACAAAGGAAUGCAAACAUGGACUGAACACACUUAAAAUACCACAUAAAAUACGGCAAUGGUGGUGUGGGGGCCGAGGGCUUCGGAGAUGUGCCGUUCACCACACUGUACUUCCGAGUGUGUGCAGGCAUGCGCAGACAGGAAGGGUGGGCGUGCAGGGCCACAGAGAGGAGAGCAAGGACAGUGUUUUCAAAGCAAAGUAGACCAGGCUGGCCUCAAACUCAGUGAACCUCCUGUCUGCCGGGCUUAGUGUUGUUGUUGUUUUGUUUUCUGAGACAGGGUUUCUCUGUGUAACCCUGGCUGUCCUGGAACUUACUCUGUAGACCAGGCCGGCCUCCGACUCACAGAGAUCCACCUGCCUCUGCCUCCCACGUACUGGGAUUAAAGGUGUGCGCCACCACCACCCAGUGAGGACUGGGGUUUUAAAGGCAUGUGGUCACACGUUCACCUUCAGAGUAAAGUCUGUAACAACAAUGAAUAUUGGGGGGCUGAUAAGAUGGUUCAGAGGGGAAAAGCUCUUGCCACCAAACUGUCAUCUGACUUUCACAUGUGCCAUGAUGCCAUAAUGCAUGUGGUAUGUGUGUGUGUGCGUGUCUGUGUGCAAACAAAACCUCAUAGGGGACAGAAGCAGAAAGGCAAAGUCUUUAUUAUCUGUAAAUGGCCCUGAAUGCCACACCAAGACAGGAAGCUGCAUGGAUACAUUUUAUUUGUUUGUUUGUUUGUUUAUUUAUUUAUUAUGUAUACAAUAUUCUGUCUGUGUGUAUGCCUGCAGGCCAGAAGAGGGCACCAGACCCCAUUACAGAUGGUUGUGAGCCACCAUGUGGUUGCUGGGAAUUGAACUAAGGACCUUCGGAAGAGGAGGCAAUGCUUUUAACCUCUGAGCCAUCUCUCCAGCCCCUGGAUACAUUUAUUUUCUCACAGUAUGGACAAUAGAGUUGGGCAGAUGACAAGAGGCAGAAAUUACAGAGGCCACUGUGUACCAGCCCAGGUGAAUAAGGACCUCAGUCAAAGUAAGCUGAAGCAGGAAGACAAAGGGAGGGCCUGAAGAGAAAUGCCAAGCUGGGUGUAGUGGCACAUGCCUAUAAUCUGAGCACUCGCGAGGCAGAGACAGGGGUAUCCGAAAUUCAAAGUUAGCCUCUGCUACAUAAUGAGUUCAAGGCUAGCUCAGGCUACAUGAGAUCCCACCUCAAAGGAGGAGGGUCUGUAUAGUACAGGAUCAAUGGGAUCAGGUUAUUGAUCAGUGAGGCAGGAAGGGUGAGGCCAUAGCUUGCACGUAAUCAGACCUCACUGAAGAAAAGCAAAGGAGGGAAGGGAGAUGAAAGGCAACCACCAAACAGAGCCACACACUGGUGACUUUCCAACCCUGGCAGCACCACGUGUAGACAGCCAGCCUUGCAGGGUUCUAGCGAUCACUGUGCCCUUAAUGUCUUCUAUGCUGUGGUAAUGGAAAAUCUUACUUGGAUAAGAUGUAAUGUGAGCAAGAUGUGUAUUUAACUUGAGCCCAGCAGGCGUCUCCAGGGGAGUAGGGGUACAGCACAGCUUUAGGAGCCUGAGCUUCCUGUUCAGUCAUUCGUGCGCUGUUCGUCCUUAGAUGUCAUUCCUCUGGUCCUCUGUAUCCAAUCUGUGGCCACGAGACCUGGUGACUGUCAGCCAGAAGAUGCUGACACACGUGGGUUUCCAGAGACAUGCACAGACUCCUAAUUGUACCCUGGGCCUCAUGUCUACGUUUAUGAGUACGGAAAGCUAUAGGCACAACUUUGCUUCCUUAAUGAUUUUCUAUUAAACAUAGACUGACACAGUGCAGUGGAAAACUACAAGACGCUCGCUGCCUAUCGCAGUUAGUCACUCCAAAUACACACAUGUGGUCUAGUAGGUAAAACAGUCAACAUUCAGUCACCUCUUAGCUAAGAAAGCCAAGCUAAUGGGUGGUGGGGCCAAAACAGCGUGGAGGACCUAAAGGGUGUGCUGAGGUCACUGGCCUCAGUUCCUGUCCCACUCAGCAACCCUCAGAUCCACGACACUGCACAGCAGUGCUUGCUUAGAGGGGCCACUAUCCAGCCCCUUGUCACACUAACAAGGUCCUAGCUGCAUCAUCUAACUGCCCUGCCUUCCUCUUCAGGUAGUGAAGUGGGGAUGUCCCCAGUGAACAGAGUUACACAGUUUAACUGGUGACUCCACCUGGGCCCAGACUAGCGUCUACAGACUAAACAGUAAAGCAGACUUUUCCAUUGGCCACAGCAUGUUUCUCUUUACCACUGUGUCCUUAUUGUUUACCAAAGUUCAGAGUUAACAUUUUCCAAGUGACCAACCCAGUGGUAAUCUGAGAAAGAGGUCAUUGCCCAAUGGAGAGAUGAGGAAACAAAGACUUGUCCAGUUAUCACAGCCCAACUUGUUUGUGAGGGACAAGGUCUCACUGCAUUGCUCCAGAACCGCUGGGUUCAGGUGCUGCUUUUGCCUGAGUCUCUCUUAUUUUGGCACAAUGUUCUUUUAAGGGUCAUUCAACUGAUGGCUUAUAGACUCCUAUAGCAGCCUGGAGAAGGCUAAACUGGAUCAAGUGUACAAAUAAGAUCACUUCCACCCAGAGUGAUAGAGGAACAAGCUGUGGAUGUCCUUAAAAUGGAGCUGGCACCUGGUCUUGUGGGAUACUGAAGCACAUGGCUAGGGGCAGCGUACGAGCAAUCCAGUCUGGCUGUGACACGCCACUCUCAACCACUCUGAUGUGCCUCAGGAAGGAAGUUUCAAAGCCAACCUAUGGCUUACCUGGAGGAUGCUUUGCCUCUCUCACCCGCCCAUCCUCCCUUCAUUCACACACUGUCUACACUAGGGCAGCUUCUCUAGGAAGCUUGCCGCAAAAGCAAAACUAAACAGCAGGGCCUCAUACAGCACAGGCUGUUCUGGAAUUCAACAGCAGUGGAGACUCCAUCUCGCAGGUGAUGGGGUCACAGGUGUUUGUCACCAUGCCCAGCUGUGUGGGAGAAAGCUACAUGAGUUAGUAAUGAUGUCGGCCAGGAGGGGCAGCAAGGAGAAAGAGCACUGACUACUACGGGGCAAUGUCAGGCGUCUUCCUGGCUGCUCUCCACCUCUUCUGUUCUGCUUUGUUUGUUUGGUUUUUAAUUUAUUUAUUUUAUGUGCACUGGUGUUUUGUUUGCAUCUUUAUCUGUGUGAGGGGAUCAGAUGCUCUGGAACUGGACUUACAGACAGUUAUGAGCUCCAUAUGGGUGCUGGGAAUUGAACCCGGGUCCUCUGGAAGAGCAGUCAGGGCUCUUAACCACUGCCAGCCCCUGCUUUGCUUUUUUUGAAACAGGGUCCCUCGCUUACUGGCUUGGCAACAUUGGCUGGUCAGCAAACCUCGGGGACCUGUCUCUUCCUUCCUGGUGUCAGGAUUGUGGAGACUUCCCUACGUCCACCUUUUUACAUGGAUACAGGGAUUUAAACUUACACUUGUGUGACAAGGGCUUUACUGACUGAACUAGUCCAAGAGAACUCUUCAUGGUGGUGUAGGCUUCUGGAACAGAGAGGGAUGGAGUCUAGGGAGCCAAGGCCUCCACAAGCUCCACAGGCCCCUACAUGUUCCAAGCUAGAUGAGACAGGGCAAGGCCGGCCCUCCUUUCCCCAGAGAGAGGCUUCUUUUGGCAAGGAUUCACUUGGGGACUAAAGCACAGCAGACAAUACACAGCUCCAGGCUCUAAAGAGAAAGCUGCGCAUCUCUUCUCAGAAUGCCAAAGAAUGGUUUACUUGAAAUCCCAAGAAUCUAGCAGAGGGCUGGCUUAGCUUGCAAAGGGGAGUGGGGCGUACAGAAAGCCACUGGACACUCAGGAGGAACCAUCCUUUAUCCCCGGCCCCAGCCACUUAGGAGCCCAUGGCCUAGAAAAGGAGCGGCAGAUAGUUUACACCUUUAAUUAUUCCAAUAGAAACGUGUCUCCCGGGAGCAGCCAGGGGUCAGAAGUCCAGCACCAAAACUGUAUAUCUUUAUUAAGUCAUGAGCAAAAAAGCAUUACAGCAGACAGUUAUUAAAAGAAAAAAAAAAAAGCCCCGGUGACCAGCCGAGUAGGAGGUGUCAGAAAACUCACUCCAGAUAAUUUAUUCCCUGAGAACCACAGAGGGCUUUCCCAAGAACAGCAAAAGCACCGUUAAUUUCCUCAGGACCCUCCCUUUCAAAGAGCUCCAAACACCACACAUUUCAUAUUAAAUUGUUCUCAAAGGCUCCAAAAGAAGGGGUUACUAUUUCCCUAAGUACAGAUGUCGAAACUCAAGCCUUUGUGCCCACCAUGCCCUGCCCAGGCCAAGCUAAGGGAGUGAGGCUGCUUGUGCCUGAUCCAGGCCUCCUGGUAGAGGGUUACAAAGACCAAAAUUACCACCUCCAUCCCCCACAAAGAUGAAAAACGGGCUCUCUAUCCUCCAGAACACCAGAGUCCAGUAGUGCGCGGCAGAUGCACAUAUAUCCCCGUAUGCUUAUGUGGAAUGCUACUGAAAAGGCCCACACGCAGCCUGAGAGCUGGUAAGCGCCCACUUACCAGUGCCUAACACGUUCCGAGCACUGUACUAUGUUAUGUUGUUUAAGUCGUCCAGCAAUGUGUGACCAAUACAAGAAGGAAUGGAUGCAAGAAGAGUAAAGAGAUUUGCUGAGGGCCCUAAGGCUACCUGGGGCAGAGACAUGAUUAGAACCCAGAUCCAUCCAGUGAGGAAGUCCUGGAGCUGCUAAGUGACUGAUUAGGAAACUAGAAACUGACCUGUGGGCUUUUCAGCAUGCACACAGAGAGAGGUGCCCUGCACUGGGCGGGGCCUGUUGCCAGGUCCAGAACACAGAUGCAUACAUUAAUAGAGUCUUUCCAUCAUGGGGACAGCUCCAGUGUCUUUCCAAAGGGAACAGAACACUUUCUGGGCAAAGAAGUUCUGAGAAGUCCUGAGCCCUUCUUGUUCUUUUGUGGGCACUGUAAUGGACCAAGAAGGACCAAGAAUGUCUUCAAACGGGUGGCCAGCUGUAAAGGCCUCUGCUCGGAGACAGACUCCUGCUGGGGCAGGGCCCUUUGUUGGCCAUCCCUGAAGAAGGGCACAGGGUGGUGACAGCGCUGCAGAAUUUGCCUAAUAGCUGUAAGCUCCACCAAGAAAGAAAUGGCAGACUUGGAGGAAAGAGAGCAGCAGGCCACAGUCCCCAAGCCAGAAAGACUACUGAAAACCAUGGCCAGUCAUGAGGACUGGCUGAAUCCUAAUAACAGGGAGACAGAUGAAGGAAGGAGUUUUAAAACCAUAAUCUCAACCUAACAAAACCCUAGGUGGAACCAGCCCGCACUUAACACCAGCAGCUUGCUCUGCAAUCUUAGGAUCCUUUCAUACAGCCAUCAACACACACUAUGACUCAUUCGCUCGCUCUAUUAUUAUCACUUAUGUUGUACCUACUUCCAGGAGACGUUCGACUUAACUUAAAAAGCCUAGAGGAUAGCUAAAAGGACAGAGGUCUUGAAGCAGACAGAUCUGGCCUGUGACUCUAGUGGCCACAGGCACACGGUUUCUCGUCUGCCUUGGCUCAGCUCAGCUGUAAGCCACUGAUGGAUUCAAGGCUACCCAAGCUCGUCUGCAGGAUAAGAGACGACAAUGACUGCAAACUGCCCGGCAAACGGUUUGGCUCCUCCACAGUAUACAUCUAACUAAAACAAACGCCAAAGAGGUAAGGAAAAGAGUGUGCAAGAGAAAGGGACCAGUGACCAGUUCAAUCCACGUAUCUAAAUAAGGGAAGCUCUGGAUUCCUGGGAGUCACAGGAAAAGCGAAGCAGGAUUAUUACUCUGUUCUUGUCGUUAAUGAAGGAAGCCUGUAACUCAUCAGGACAGAGAAAGUGCGGAGGUUCUGUAUCCUCAAGUAAAUGCAAAUGUGUGUGCAUAUUCACACACGCACACACACACACAUACACCCCUUCUCUCCAGCAGGAAGAGGGUGAAUGGCUCCCCAGAGCCCUGCUGCCCCUCUGACACCACACAGCUGUUGCCGCCAGUGAAGUACUGCAAUAGUUAAAACAUUUUUGUGCCAAUAUUUUAAGAGUGCAGAAGGUUCCAAAUUACAUGUAAAAUAAACAAUGCCAGACUGUGAAAACUCUUGGCUACAACGCUCUCUGAUGUUAACAAGAGUUCCUUUAUUACUGUAACCUUUCAGAAGAGAAUAAAAACCAUUUCUCUGCCCUAGUUUUGCCCUCCAGUAAAAGUGGAGGGAGCAGUGACCAUGGAAAGAGCUGUACAGUGACCCCUCCUGAAGGCUGGGGGUUGGGAAGAGCAACUGAAAACAAAGCCUUCCAUAUAGAUUUCUUUUCCAAAGUAAAAAAAAAAAAAAAAAAAGCUUUUUUUUUUGAGGGUGUGUAUGCAUAUGUAGAGGUCAGUGAACAACUUGCAGAGAACUUAGGUUCUCUCCUUCCACCAUGUGGGUCCCAAGGACAGAACUCAGGUCGUUAAGGCUGGUAGCCAGUGCCUUUAUCCACUGACCCAUUUCACCAACCCUGUCUUCCAUAUAUUUUCUAGCCAGCUGUUAAACAUUUAGUUUGGGCUGUGGAUCAUAUUAUACAAUGUCACAUUGCUAACUUUUGUAUGUGACAACUUAAAACACAUACAACAUUUGUAUGUGACAGGUAGAGGCACAACAGAGCCUUUGGGGAAGCCCAAACCAAGCUAAUACUAUGAAGAAAAUUAAGAUCUAACCAAGACUCCUCAGUGACUCUCCUUACUCAGAAACUGAGUCUGAAGUGCUCUCAAAACAAAGAAGAGGCCAGAUGUGGUGGUGCAAAUCUGUAGUCCCAGCACUGGAAAGGCAGAGGUGGCAGAUUGCUCUAAGUUUGAGGCCAGCCUGGUCCACGCAGAGUCCAGGUCAGCCAGGCCUACAGAAAGAGACCCUUUCUCAAGACAAACAAAACCCAAAACAAGGAAGAGGGUUUGUGUGUGGCCAGUACUCAGGACAAAACACAGUAGUGUACAGACCCCUAGUCAGUGAGUGUGUAAAUAUCAGACAGAGGGAUCAAAACAGCUGGAUAAAGGGAAGCUGCUUUCCCCGCCACAGAAAAGGAAGGACAACAAAUGAAGUCAAACACUGCCCUCUCAGGCCACUCUGCAACACUAACUCACCCAAAUGUCAUCUGAGUGGUCUCCUCUGGCAUUCUCAGCCGCGUAACCAUUGUAAUUUCUCGGUAUUAUAACUGUGUUUAUGUUUGUCCUCUGCUAGACUAGGAAGUCUUAGUCAUUCUUUUAUCUCUGUGUUAACAUAGUAGCUGGAAGCCAGCAGGUCACAAUACAAUCAAUAGAUAAGGAAAAUUUUGUGUUUGAUGAACUGCUGUUUAAAACAACAACAACAAAAAGCAGAACAUAAGCUCUGGGCCACAACAAGCUUUGUAGUCCUCUCAAAAGCAUAAGGUUGGGUCUGGAAAAGAAUGUAGAGAUUACCUAACUUACCUCAGAGACUCGAGGGGACCUGACUUACUCAGGCUGUAACCGGACAGUGACCAGGCUGGCUAGACCGCCCUCCUUCAACCGCACCCACACCACCCCUUCAUUAGCCUGAAAUGGUAGUAUACAUGUUCAUUUGCUGGGAGGAUGAGAAACAUGAUUGAAACAGCAUAUUCUAAGAACGCAAUCUCACUAUAAGUAAAUGGGGUCACAGUAAGGGUUCAAAGGCCAAGAGGAACGAGUGUGUGUACUAUUCUUGAAGAGGACCCAAGAUCAAGUCCCAGCACCCAUGUCUAGCAGCUCACAGCCAUCUGUGACUACAGUUGCAAGGGCAUCCGACACCCUCUUCUGGCCUCUUUUGGCACUGCACUUAAAUGUACACAAACACAGACACAUGAUUCAAACUAAAAAAUAAUAUAUAAACAAACUAUGGAUAUCAUGCUAGGAAUUGAUUCACUUGAUAUAACAAUAUUGGGUUCCCACUAAAGCUGUCAGACAGUUACCACUGGAACAAGUUAAUCCCAAGAAAACAGAAACAUGUUCAGACAAAACUCAGCCCAAAUGUCCAAUGUGAACAACUGUCCAAAAACAGAAAAAGCAAAGCAUGCUACAACACAAACAGACCUUGAAAACAUACUCAGUACAAAGAGGCAAACGUCAAAGGCUGCAUAUUCCAUUACGUUCUGUCGGCAGUGUGCUGAGAUGAAAAGCUCAGAACGGGUGCAGCCAAAGACACGGCAAAGGGGCGGCGGGGGAGGGGGCAGAGAAUGAUGCCUAUGAGCACAGGGGUUCUUUCUGAGGUGGGGGGAACAUUCUGGAAUUAGUGCUGUGGGCAUGUAACACUGUGAGUUAAGUAAAACCACCACCUAUUCAUUGUGCACGUGUGUAGUGAGCAUGUGCCACAGCUACAUGUGGCUUGCAGAGGUCAGAGGCUGACUUGUGGGAGUCAGUUCUCUCCUUCUCCUACACGUGUGCCCAGGGUCAAUGCUCAGAUCAUCAGGCUCA
This is a long non-coding RNA of Alexandromys fortis (reed vole), 11498 nucleotides long. RefSeq lists it as uncharacterized. The transcript is spliced from 3 exons. Lineage: Eukaryota; Metazoa; Chordata; Mammalia; Rodentia; Cricetidae. The record is from RefSeq and is a predicted model, not a curated record.